AGGGCCACACCUGCGGCAUAUGGGAGUUCCCAGGUCGAAUCACAGCUACACCACAGGAUCCUUCAACCCACCGAGUGAGGCCAGGGAUGGAACCCACAUCCUCAGGGAUACUAGUUGGGUUCUUAACCCACUGAGCUGCAAAGGGAACUCCCCCCCAUAGUUUUUUUUUAAUUGAAGUAUAGUUGAUUUAUAAUGUCAUGUUAGAUUCUGCUGUACAGAAAAGUGGUUAAGUUAUACAUAGAUACAUUUGUUUAAAAAUAUUUUCUUCUGUGAUGGUUUAUCACCGGCUACUGAAUAUAGUUCCCUGUUUUAUAGAGUAGGACCUUGUUUUUUAAUCUCUUCUGUAUAAGUUAGUUUGCAUCUGCUAACCCCAAAGUCCCAGUCCAUUCCUCUCCCCUGCCCUUGCCAACCACUAGUCUAGUCUCUAUGUCUGUGAGUCUGUUUCAGUUUGAUAAAAGUUUAUUUGUGUCAUAUUUUAGAGUCCACAUAUAAGUGACAGCAUAUCGUAUGUGUCUUUCUCUUUCUGACUUGCUUCACUUCCUAUGAUCAUCUCUAGGUCCAUCCAUGUUGCUGCGAAUGGCAUGAUUUCAUUCCUUUUUAUGGCUGAGUAAUAUUCCAUUGUGGGUAUGGACCACAUCGUCUUUAUCCACUCCUCUGUUGAUGGACAUUUAGAUUGUUUCCGUGUCUUGGCUAUUGUAAAUAGUGCUUCUGUGAACACAGGGGUGCACGCAUCUUUUAAAAUUAUACUUUUGUCCAGAUAUAUUGCCCAGGCGUGGGAGUACUGGCUCAUAUGGCAACUCAAUUUUUAGUUUUUAGAGGAACCUCCAUAGUGUCUUCCAGAGUGGCUGCAUCACCUGACACUCCCACCACAGUGUAGGAGGGCUCCCUUUUCUCCACACCCUCGCCAGCGUUUGUCCUUUGUAGAUUUCCGAAUGAGUGGCCAUUGUGACUGGUGGGAGGUGGUACCUCACUGUAGUUGUGAUUUGCGUUUCUCUAAGAACUAGAGACAUUGAGCAUCUUUUCCUGUGCGUAUGGGCCAUCUGUAUUGUACCUUGGGUUUUAAAAAUCGCUAAUUCCCUCGCCACGAGAGUGGAGACGCCACUGGACAGGGCUUCUUGCUUUUGUGCGUAGUGUGUCCCAACGCCUGGGACCACACCCGACACAGACUUUGGCACCCAGGGUUUGUAAAAUGAUGAGCACAUAAGCGUGUCAAGUAGAAAGCACAACCUGCUUUUCCACUGAACACAUCACGGGUGGCGUCACACGCCGGUCAGGUGUUCCAUGCUGCACAGGAUGCUCCGAGGUGCUGCUGGACUCCCCUUCAACUUAUGUCAUCACAGGUGUCCAUCGUGGGAGCAUUUAGGUGGUCCCCGUUUUCCAGAAAGACAAGCCAUAAUGCCAUAUGAUCCUACCUUGGUACGACAGUGUGGAAAGUUUUACAGACUAAAUUCCAGAAGAAGUGGAAUUGUUACGACCCACUUCGGCAGUGCAUUCAUGAUGAUUUCUACUGCCGAGGAAGAGGUUGUGUCCUCCCUUAGAGUUCAAAACCACAGGAUCUGAAUUCCUGGAACCUUUUUAAUAAUGAACAAAAUUAUUUUUUAGCUGCCUCUGUGGAAGGUCCUGGGCCAGGAGUCGAACCUGUGCCACAGCAGCCGUAACCAGAGCCACAGCAGCGAUAACACCUAGCAAUGCAAGAUCUUUUAACCCAGCGCACCAGGCCUGGGAUCGAACCCACACCUCCACAACAACCCGAGCCCCUGCGGUCAGAGUCUGAACCCACUGCACUACGGCAGGAACGCCACAAAGCCUGAUCCUUCCUUAUCCAGCAGGGAACUAGACCACCAGGGAGCUCCGUCACUGGGACCUUUUAAACAUUGAUUCUUGGUGGUUCCACCAUCGUUACCACUCUUAGGACUUUCAGGCAAAAAUGUUACAGUAAGUGAAAUGCAGUUUUGGCACAGUCUGCUUCCAAAGCCUGUUUGGUACGGCCUGUGAACUAAGAACGGGCCGACGUUUUAAAUGUUUUGGAAAAAAAAAAAAUCAAAAGGUGAACAUUUCGUGACACAUGAAAAUGAUAUGAAAUCCACAGGUCUGAGAACAAGAUAGACUUGUACUGAAACAGCCACACUCAUCUGUUUAUGUAUUGUCCGUGGCUGCUUUCAGAUUGUGACAGCAAAGCUGAGUUGCUGUAACAGGUCGUGUGGCCCCAAAACUGUAAAAUAUUUCCUGUCUGAUCCCUUACAGACUCCAGCCCUGGAUCCCUGUCUUCCCAGCCCCAGUGAUAUCUCGUGCUGUGGUGGCCAAGUCUCCCGCUCCCGCCAGCAGCAAACUCAUGGCCCCCAAGUGCCCCCACCCUUCCCCGUUCUCCAUCCACCAAAAGCACAGCUCUCAUCCCCUUACUGAGCCCAAGUUAGGUGGGAGAAAAAAAGCAAAGCCUUUUAUUUUGCAGGCAGGUGAUGCAUAUAUGGCAAAUGAAUGGCGGAAGAAAUUUAGACUAAAGUGUGAAUGUCUAUUAGGCCUGGCCUUGAUUCGCCCAUCCAUAUAAAAGGUACCAGCAUUUUUCAAGGAACUUGCUCUCUGAAAGCCAGGGGUCUGUCUUUUUUGAAGGGGCCAUAAUCUUUUAGGGGACUUUACUAAUUUCUUCUCCGUGGGAAACUCUAGCUUGGUGCCAACCUCUCAUUCAUCCCUCCUCUCUAAAAUACAGGAACAAAGCGUAUAUGCAGUUUAAUUUGCCUACCACGCAAAAAGAACACUCAGAGGAGUUGCCAAUACAUGGAAAUCUCACUUCCCUUGUUUCAAAGUUUGCUGAUGUUUCCAAAAUCGCUUGAGUGAGAGGCUGUUGGUCACUGCACUCAGGGAUUCGUGUUUGCCUCACAUGUGGUUCGGGAAAAAGUGUAACCACCACAAUUUAAGAUUCCAGGCAAGUGUGGUCAUCUUUUCACACUACUAGCAUUUAAAGUGAAAAAAACCACAAUUUCCUCUCUUGCUAAAUUAGCAAACUGAUUAAAUCACACUGUUCCAAAGACAACUGGGGUAUUAUGAUCACAGCGAGCUUGAAAAUGCUGCCCCAGGAGUUCCCGCUGUGGCUCAGCAGGUUAAGAACUCGACAGAGGGUCCGUGAAGAUGUAGGUUGGAUCCCUGGCCUUGCUUAGUGGGUUAAGGAUCUGGCAUUGCUGUGGCUGUGGCGCAGGCCAGCAGCUGAGGCUCAGAUUUGACCACUAGCCUGGGAACUUCCAUAUGCCUCAGGUGUGGCCAUAAAAAGAGAAAGAAAAAAGAAACUACUGCCCCAUAGGGCAGAAAGAUUGCAUCAGGAGUGCAACCUGGAGGAAGUCAUGCGUUUUCUCCAUCACUGAAUCAAUUCAGUCUUUCCAUCACUUCCCUUCACUUCUGCCUCCCCGGCACUUGCUAGGAGGGUUUAAAAUGAGCAACACAAGGAAACAUCUCGCAGUCUUAGCCCUCUCUUGACUGCGCUCUCUUUCCUCUCCACAAGAGUUAGAGGCUGCGUUUCGUUUUUUGAAAGAUACCUCUUCUUUUUAGUUUUUUGGAAGGGAAAUGAGAGAAGGCAGGCAGCUUUAAAAACUCUAAGUGCUUCCAGCACUGCCGUAUUAUCACAGGAGACUCAUCGACAGGAGAGGAAACCCAAACGCGGGUAAGGUACCCAAAUUAUCCCGCCUAGAGGUGUCAUUGAUUUAUUUUCUCUUCCCCAAGAUUUUAUGGAGGUAUCAUUAAUGCACAGAGAAAGGCACGGCUCCCCAGGGUAAAACCUGGGUAUCAGCCUCUGUGACUCCCGGAACCAGUCCAAGACACGCAUCCCGUGCGUCCCUGGCAUUUCCUGGUGCCCGCCUCCAAUCGAGACCCUCUCCCAGGAGGGUGACCACGCUCAACAUGGAAAAGAGGCCAGCUGUUGUUGAACUUCAACUAAGUGGCUUCUCCCCGUGUGCAUUCUUGCACCUGACUCCGUCUCUCCACGUGGUUGAAAUACAUCCGCUGUUGCUUUUAUAGCUUGCUCGCUAGUAGUCCAGUAUAUGCAUAUACCAUUGGUUUAUCUGUCCUCCUGUCUCCUUGCUUGUAAGGCUGUUUGGUUUGCUUCUGUUCAGGUCUUAAGACUGGUCCCCUCUGUUUGCAUUGCCUAGUGCCUGACCCUUUGUGGGGCAGAAAGAAGAAGCAGCAAGAAUUGAGACUGACAGAUGACAUGGUGCAGGCCCCCGCCCAGGGCCUGGAAUGUUUGUUCCUUAUUUAUUUUGUUUUUUUGGGGGGGGCCACACCCUCGGCAUGCGGAAGUUCCUGGGCCAGAGAUGGAACUUAAGCCACCGCAGUGACCAGAGUCACAGCAGUGACAACACCAGAUCCUUAACCACUGGGCCACCAGGGAACUCCUGUUCCUUAUUCUUAAUUAAGCUAAUAAGGAACUGGACUCUGGAAGCCCGAGUUCAAAAGCACAUUGAAUGGUUUUUCUCUAAUGGGGGCAGCUGCACGGAAUCUGAUUUGCACAAUGAUUGUCCACGUGUAAAAUGCACGCCGAGCAACAGCACCGGCUACAGGCGUGACACAUGCUAAGAGGUGGAGGGCUGAGCAGGUGAGGCCAGGAGCUAAGAUCAUAUUUCCGCUUCUCAUUAAAUUCUCUCUUUUUCUUUUUUAUGGCCCCACCUGAGGCAUGUGAAAGUUGCCGGGAUAGGGGUCAAAUCGUAUCCGCUGAGGCCUAUGCCACAGCAUGUGGGCGACAAUGGAUCCUUAACCCACUGAGCGAGGCCGGGGAUAGAACCCCGCAUCCUCAUGGACACUACGUCGGGUUCUUAACCUGCUGAGCCGCAACGGGAAGUCCCACAUUCUCCGUUUCUUAUUAACAACCAACACUUUCCAACCUUCAAGUGACUAGAGAUGGUGGCUGCCCUGAGAGCAAUUUGGAAAAUUGUUUCAGUUAGACGGCUCCAGAGAGAAGCCUGGGUAAAUUGCCAGGAGUGGGGAACAUUUCAGGGGUGUCAAUCGGGGUCCCUCCAGGAGUUCCCGAUGUGUCGCAGCAGAAAGGAAUCCAACUAGGAUCCAUGAGGAUGCGGGUUUGGUCCCUGGCCUCACUCAGUGGGUUAAGGAUCCAGCCUUGCCGUGAGCUGUGGUGUAGGUCCCAGAUGCUGCUCAGGUCCCAAGAUGCUGUGGCUGUGGUGUAGGCUGGCAGCUGUAGCUCUGAUUUGACCCCUAGCCUGGGAACUUCCAUGUGCUGCGGGUGUGGCCCUAAAUAAAUAAAUAAAUAAAUAAAUCAGGGUCCCUCCAGCUUCUAACCCUUGUAAAAAAAUAAUCGGAUUCCUCCCCAGCCAGCAAGUCAUUUCUUGAUUGUCAUCGGUGGCGCAUAUGCAUCCAAAAAAAAAAAAAAUUACAACUAACACAAGGCAUUGUUAAGAAGCUUCUGGGCUGCAUUUGAUAAGAAAUGAGACUCUCUUCCAGCCCAAGAGGGGCAGGGGAAAGAGAGCCGGUGAGGGCAACAUUUCUCCCGAGGUUGCAAAGGCCACCCCUCACCUGCAGGAAGAGAAUGACAGUGAACUUGGCUGAGAAGGUGCGGCUUUGCGGGGAUUCCUCAGCACCACGGACACUGCUCGCGCUGAAAAUAUGAUUAUUAUUUUUUUAUACAAAUGACGUCUACAACGUUCCAGAAUGCUACGGUCAUGUGAGGCCCGGGUCAGGGUCAGUUCCUCUUACAACUGAGAAUCACUCGACUGGAGCGAGUAACCCUUCCUAAAAUAGGUGGACAUUCCUUUGGACUUGAGCCUCUUGUUCUUUCACAGUGUAAUGGCAUUUUUUCUUUUAAAGUAGCACCUUUCAGAUGUUCCCGUUGUGGCCCAGUGGAAAGCAAUCCGAUUAGUAUCCGUGAGGAUGCAGGUUUGAUCCCUGCCCUUCCUCGAGUGGGUCGGGGAUCCAGCGUUGCGGUGAGCUGUGGUGUAGGUCUCAGGUGCAGCUUGGAUCCCUCUUUGCUGUGGCUGUGGUGUAGGCCAUCAGCUAUUUCUCCCAUUUGACCCCUAGCCUGGGAACUUCCAUAUGCCGCAGGUGUAGCCCAAAAAGCAAAAAAAGAAACAAAGCAAAAUAAAAACGCNCCUUUUAAAGUAGGAUUUUUUAGGAGUUCCCUGAUGGCUUAGCAGCUAAGGGUCUGGCUUUGUGGUGUGGGUUUUUUUGGAUCUGUCUUUUUUUCUUUUUUUUUUUUUGGCUGCACCUAGGGAUCAAACCCACGUCCUCAUUGAUGCUAGACAGGUUCAUUAUCGCUGAGUCAAAACAGGAACGCCUGGGGCAUGGGGUUGAUCCCU
Molecule: long non-coding RNA, 6287 nt
Filed under: Sus scrofa (pig)
Lineage: Eukaryota; Metazoa; Chordata; Mammalia; Artiodactyla; Suidae
Description: lncRNA (ENSSSCG00055027918.1)
Source: RNAcentral